GAUGAACGCUGGCGGCGUGCCUAAUACAUGCAAGUCGAGCGAACAGACGAGGAGCUUGCUCCUCUGACGUUAGCGGCGGACGGGUGAGUAACACGUGGAUAACCUACCUAUAAGACUGGGAUAACUUCGGGAAACCGGAGCUAAUACCGGAUAAUAUAUUGAACCGCAUGGUUCAAUAGUGAAAGACGGUUUUGCUGUCACUUAUAGAUGGAUCCGCGCCGCAUUAGCUAGUUGGUAAGGUAACGGCUUACCAAGGCGACGAUGCGUAGCCGACCUGAGAGGGUGAUCGGCCACACUGGAACUGAGACACGGUCCAGACUCCUACGGGAAGCAGCAGUAGGGAAUCUUCCGCAAUGGGCGAGAGCCUGACGGAGCAACGCCGCGUGAGUGAUGAAGGUCUUCGGAUCGUAAAACUCUGUUAUUAGGGAAGAACAAAUGUGUAAGUAACUAUGCACGUCUUGACGGUACCUAAUCAGAAAGCCACGGCUAACUACGUG
Molecule: ribosomal RNA, 497 nt
Filed under: uncultured bacterium
Lineage: Bacteria
Description: partial 16S ribosomal RNA
Rfam family: Bacterial small subunit ribosomal RNA
Source: RNAcentral